GGCGAACGCUGGCGGCGUGCUUAACACAUGCAAGUCGAACGGAAAGGCCCUGCUUUUGUGGGGUGCUCGAGUGGCGAACGGGUGAGUAACACGUGAGUAACCUGCCCUUGACUUUGGGAUAACUUCAGGAAACUGGGGCUAAUACCGGAUAGGAGCUCCUGCUGCAUGGUGGGGGUUGGAAAGUUUCGGCGGUUGGGGAUGGACUCGCGGCUUAUCAGCUUGUUGGUGGGGUAGUGGCUUACCAAGGCUUUGACGGGUAGCCGGCCUGAGAGGGUGACCGGCCACAUUGGGACUGAGAUACGGCCCAGACUCCUACGGGAGGCAGCAGUGGGGAAUAUUGCACAAUGGGCGGAAGCCUGAUGUAGCAACGCCGCGUGCGGGAUGACGGCCUUCGGGUUGUAAACCGCUUUCGCCUGUGACGAAGCGUGAGUGACGGUAAUGGGUAAAGAAGCACCGGCUAACUACGUG
This 468-nucleotide ribosomal RNA is filed under the name uncultured bacterium. RNAcentral describes it as "partial 16S ribosomal RNA". It matches the Rfam family "Bacterial small subunit ribosomal RNA", at positions 28 to 507 of the family's 1533-position model. The record is from RNAcentral.